RNAcentral lists this ribosomal RNA (440 nucleotides) under uncultured bacterium. RNAcentral describes it as "partial 16S ribosomal RNA". It matches the Rfam family "Bacterial small subunit ribosomal RNA", at positions 338 to 795 of the family's 1533-position model. The record is from RNAcentral.
CCUACGGGUGGCAGCAGUGGGGAAUAUUGCACAAUGGGGGAAACCCUGAUGCAGCGACGCCGCGUGAGUGAAGAAGUAUUUCGGUAUGUAAAGCUCUAUCAGCAGGGAAGAAAAAGACGGUACUUGAUGAAGAAGCAGCGGCUAACGACGUGCCAGCAGCCGCGGCAAUACGGAGGGGGCAAGCGUUAUCCGGAUUAACUGGGUGGAAAGGGAGCGUAGACGGCGGCGCAAGUCUGGAGUGAAAUGCCGGGGCUUAACCCCCGAACUGCUUUGGAAACUGUGUAGCUAGAGUGCAGGAGAGGUAAGUGGAAUUCCUAGUGUAGCGGUGAAAUGCGUAGAUAUUAGGAGGAACACCAGUGGCGAAGGCGGCUUACUGGACUGUAACUGACGUUGAGGCUCGAAAGCGUGGGGAGCAAACAGGAUUAGAUACCCGAGUAGUC